UGGGGAAUAUUGGACAAUGGGCGAAAGCCUGAUCCAGCCAUGCCGCGUGUGUGAAGAAGGUCUUCGGAUUGUAAAGCACUUUCAGUUGGGAGGAAGGGCAUUAACCUAAUACGUAGUGUUUUGACGUUACCGACAGAAUAAGCACCGGCUAACUCUGUGCCAGCAGCCGCGGUAAUACAGAGGGUGCAAGAGUUAAUCGGAAUUACUGGGCGUAAAGCGCGCGUAGGUGGUUUGUUAAGUUGGAUGUGAAAUCCCCGGGCUCAACCUGGGAACUGCAUUCAAAACUGACUGACUAGAGUAUGGUAGAGGGUGGUGGAAUUUCCUGUGUAGCGGUGAAAUGCGUAGAUAUAGGAAGGAACACCAGUGGCGAAGGCGACCACCUGGACUAAUACUGACACUGAGGUGCGAAAGCGUGGGGAGCAAACA
RNAcentral lists this ribosomal RNA (426 nucleotides) under uncultured bacterium. Its description in RNAcentral is "partial 16S ribosomal RNA". It matches the Rfam family "Bacterial small subunit ribosomal RNA", at positions 355 to 774 of the family's 1533-position model. The record is from RNAcentral.